RNAcentral lists this ribosomal RNA (237 nucleotides) under uncultured bacterium. Its description in RNAcentral is "partial 16S ribosomal RNA". It matches the Rfam family "Bacterial small subunit ribosomal RNA", at positions 99 to 334 of the family's 1533-position model. The record is from RNAcentral.
CGGACGGGUGAGUAACGCGUGGGUAACCUGCCUCAUACAGGGGGAUAACAGUUGGAAACGACUGCUAAUACCGCAUAGGCCCACGGAUCCGCAUGGAUCUGCGGGAAAAGGAUUUAUUCGCUUCAGGAUGGACUCGCGUCCAAUUAGCUAGUUGGUGAGGUAACGGCCCACCAAGGCGACGAUUGGUAGCCGGACUGAGAGGUUGAACGGCCACAUUGGGACUGAGACACGGCCCAG